This 233-nucleotide non-coding RNA is filed under the name unclassified sequences. Its description in RNAcentral is "raiA RNA". It matches the Rfam family "raiA RNA". The record is from Rfam by way of RNAcentral.
UUCUUUCGGGUCUGUAGUUGCGGAGGCGAAAACCUCCAAGUCCAUGGCAGAUGCGGUCGAAAGGAUCCACGUAAACCGGGUGGGCAACCGCUCGGCGAGCACGGCGCGUUCUAGGAGUAAGACGCAUCGUCCGUUUACACGCGACAUGGUGCCGCGGCGGGCGAGAGGGUGAUGGUGAACAGCUCAGCCCCAAUGCGCGGGUGUGGGGUCGAAGACUAGGUCAGCCGGAGGAA